This 813-nucleotide long non-coding RNA is filed under the name Citrus maxima (pomelo). RNAcentral describes it as "long non-coding RNA (CMAX_LNC002091)". Lineage: Eukaryota; Viridiplantae; Streptophyta; Magnoliopsida; Sapindales; Rutaceae. The record is from RNAcentral.
GUCGUGAAGAGAGCAUCGACACUCUGGCUGCUGGCUUCAUCAAGAGGAAGCACAAGGGCUUUGAACUCAGCAAAUGGAACACCUUCAAGUUGUCGUCUUAGGCUUCUUUCAAGCACGCAUGUUGGUCACAGUUGACUGACUGGCAGAGACAAAAGCACCCCUUUUUAGCGUUACCAGCAGUACAAUAAGUUCUAGUCCUAAUUAAAUAAAUGGCCUGCCUUUGAUGUGUUGUUAGCACAUAUAAAUAGCUAGUGCGAAUGUUGUUUGUGUUUGCUUGGAUGGCAUACAUCCUUGUUUAAUUUGGAUGCAUUUUGCAUUUUUUUUUCCUAUAUGUAAAAAAGAUUUUUGUAUAAAUGAGGAGUGCGAAUUGUUCUAUUUUGCAUAUAAAUAGCUGGCGCGAAUGUUCCCGUUAAUAUAUAUAACCGAUAUUGAGUGAAUUGACAAAACAUAAAAGAACUAGAUGCAUGCAACCAUAUAUAUCAUCAAUCCUAAAGAAUCAAAGAGAAAAAUUUCUGGGCAACUGAAGUUAAAAUAAUACAGCUAACAUUUCUAUUAGUUGUUGUCAUAAUGAACCAGAAAACGCACAAAUUAAUAUUAAUUAUUUUUCUAAUAAAGGUUACAUCUUCUUGAAAAGAAACGAUUAAACAAAUUUCUGAGGCUAUUCUUACUCUCUCUUCGCCGCCUGCGUACAGGAACAGGAUCAUCUAACCCGGAAAAUGGAUUAUCCAACGAUAAACCUGCCUCUAACUUUUUGGACACGGUCACAAGCUCGUAGGAGUCCCAUAGCGAUUGCCCGAAAUCCCAAUUUGCACU